GCGGAGCGGCCCCACCCGUUCCCAUGCCGAACACGGUCGUGAAACGCUCCUGCGCCGACGGUACUGCCCGGGCGACCGGGUGGGAGAAUAGGUCACUGCC
This 100-nucleotide ribosomal RNA is filed under the name Dehalococcoidia bacterium. Lineage: Bacteria; Bacillati; Chloroflexota; Dehalococcoidia. The record is from RNAcentral.